RNAcentral lists this ribosomal RNA (465 nucleotides) under Lacticaseibacillus paracasei. RNAcentral describes it as "bacterial SSU rRNA". It matches the Rfam family "Bacterial small subunit ribosomal RNA", at positions 28 to 464 of the family's 1533-position model. The record is from RNAcentral. Lineage: Bacteria; Bacillati; Bacillota; Bacilli; Lactobacillales; Lactobacillaceae.
GAUGAACGCUGGCGGCGUGCCUAAUACAUGCAAGUCGAACGAGUUCUCGUUGAUGAUCGGUGCUUGCACCGAGAUUCAACAUGGAACGAGUGGCGGACGGGUGAGUAACACGUGGGUAACCUGCCCUUAAGUGGGGGAUAACAUUUGGAAACAGAUGCUAAUACCGCAUAGAUCCAAGAACCGCAUGGUUCUUGGCUGAAAGAUGGCGUAAGCUAUCGCUUUUGGAUGGACCCGCGGCGUAUUAGCUAGUUGGUGAGGUAAUGGCUCACCAAGGCGAUGAUACGUAGCCGAACUGAGAGGUUGAUCGGCCACAUUGGGACUGAGACACGGCCCAAACUCCUACGGGAGGCAGCAGUAGGGAAUCUUCCACAAUGGACGCAAGUCUGAUGGAGCAACGCCGCGUGAGUGAAGAAGGCUUUCGGGUCGUAAAACUCUGUUGUUGGAGAAGAAGGUCGGCAGAGUAAC